CAACCUCACGAGGGGACAGUGGACGGUGAACACAUGUCGUCAUCGGAACGUGGUCUGCUUUCGAUCAGAUGGAAGCAGAACCAAGCCCCCGGCCCUGGCAACGGGGUGUUCGGAAUCCCGUGAAUGGUGACAUCCGAUUUGGGAAGAGGGAGAACAGGGUUCCGAAAGGCCCUCUGCUUCCCCACACCCUCUGCACGGUUGUGUCCCUCUCCCACCUGCUUGGGGCGGAGCCAGCGGCCACACCCCUACCUGUGCCCGGCUCCUACCUGUGCCCGGCUCCCCUUCCUGCUCAGCCCUUCAGGGUGUGGUCCUGCCGCAGGCCCUACAUUCACCUUGUUCAGCCCCGAGGAUCAAGGCCGGCCCAGGAGAGCACGGACGAGGGCCCGGGGGCCUGCGAAGCCCAGCGGAAAAUGCUUACCAGCCGUUGAGGAAAACGACGAAACAACUCAGAUCCGUGAUGGCUCCAUGCUGGUGGAGUAACAGGCCGUGUGCUGGUGCUGGCCUCGGCAAGGAAGAAAGCACA
Long non-coding RNA from Mustela lutreola (European mink), 523 nucleotides. RefSeq lists it as uncharacterized. The record is from RefSeq and is a predicted model, not a curated record. NCBI's taxonomy places the organism in Eukaryota, Metazoa, Chordata, Mammalia, Carnivora, Mustelidae. The transcript has 3 exons.